GCGGGAAGAGCUCAAAUUUAAAAUCUGGCAGGCUACGCUUGUCCGAAUUGUAAUCUCGAGAAGUGUUUUCCGCGUUGGCCUGUGUACAAGUCCCUUGGAACAGGGCGUCAUAGAGGGUGAGAAUCCCGUCCUUGACACAGACACCCAAUGCUUUGUGAUACACUCUCAAUGAGUCGAGUUGUUUGGGAAUGCAGCUCAAAAUGGGUGGUAAAUUCCAUCUAAAGCUAAAUACUGGCGAGAGACCGAUAGCGAACAAGUACCGUGAGGGAAAGAUGAAAAGCACUUUGGAAAGAGAGUCAAACAGUACGUGAAAUUGUUGAAAGGGAAACGAUUGAAGUCAGUCGUGCCUGCCUAGAUUCAGCCUUCUGGUGUAUUUCUAGGUCGGCAGGUCAGCAUCAGUUUGGGGGGGUUAACAAGGGAGCUGGGAAUGUGGCAACCUCGGUUGUGUUAUAGCCCAGUUUCGCAUUGAUCUCGCUGGACUGAGGAACGCAGUGCGCCCGCAAGGGUUGGUCUUCGGACACAUUCGCACUUAGGAUGCUGGCAUAAUGGCUUUAAACGACCCGUCUU
This 567-nucleotide ribosomal RNA is filed under the name Cystofilobasidium infirmominiatum. RNAcentral's name for it is "partial large subunit ribosomal RNA". It matches the Rfam family "Eukaryotic large subunit ribosomal RNA", at positions 98 to 655 of the family's 3401-position model. Lineage: Eukaryota; Fungi; Basidiomycota; Tremellomycetes; Cystofilobasidiales; Cystofilobasidiaceae. The record is from RNAcentral.